AGAGUUUGAUCAUGGCUCAGGAUGAACGCUAGCGGCAGGCUUAACACAUGCAAGUCGAGGGGUAGAGGCUUUCGGGCCUUGAGACCGGCGCACGGGUGCGUAACGCGUAUGCAAUCUGCCUUGUACUGAGGGAUAGCCCAGAGAAAUUUGGAUUAAUACCUCAUAGUAUAUUGAUGUGGCAUCACAUUAUUAUUAAAGAUUUAUCGGUACAAGAUGAGCAUGCGUCCCAUUAGCUAGUUGGUGUGGUAACGGCACACCAAGGCAAUGAUGGGUAGGGGUCCUGAGAGGGAGAUCCCCCACACUGGUACUGAGACACGGACCAGACUCCUACGGGAGGCAGCAGUGAGGAAUAUUGGACAAUGGGCGCAAGCCUGAUCCAGCCAUGCCGCGUGCAGGAUGACGGUCCUAUGGAUUGUAAACUGCUUUUAUACAGGAAGAAACCCUACUACGUGUAGUAGAUUGACGGUACUGUAGGAAUAAGGAUCGGCUAACUCCGUGCCAGCAGCCGCGGUAAUACGGAGGAUCCAAGCGUUAUCCGGAAUCAUUGGGUUUAAAGGGUCCGUAGGCGGUUUUAUAAGUCAGUGGUGAAAUCCGGUAGCUCAACUAUCGAACUGCCAUUGAUACUGUAGAACUUGAAUUACUGUGAAGUAACUAGAAUAUGUAGUGUAGCGGUGAAAUGCUUAGAUAUUACAUGGAAUACCAAUUGCGAAGGCAGGUUACUAACAUUAUAUUGACGCUGAUGGACGAAAGCGUGGGGAGCGAACAGGAUUAGAUACCCUAGUAGUCC
This 787-nucleotide ribosomal RNA is filed under the name uncultured bacterium. RNAcentral's name for it is "bacterial SSU rRNA". It matches the Rfam family "Bacterial small subunit ribosomal RNA", at positions 8 to 796 of the family's 1533-position model. The record is from RNAcentral.